Long non-coding RNA from Anthonomus grandis grandis, 3133 nucleotides. RefSeq lists it as uncharacterized. Lineage: Eukaryota; Metazoa; Arthropoda; Insecta; Coleoptera; Curculionidae. The transcript is spliced from 3 exons. The record is from RefSeq and is a predicted model, not a curated record.
UUAACAUUCUUAUUCCUAAAACCGUUUCUAAAAAAUUUGAAAUGGCAACACCACAGGCAAAAGCUGAUGUAAUCUUGCGAAAUGUCAUCUUGACAAACGGCUUUGCGUUUACAUUCGGCAUUUGUGAAGUUCUGUGUUUUUUCUUUAGUUUUUAGUUGAAAAAGGAAAAGGUUGAGUCAUUUCAGUGUUUUUGUAAACUGUUACGAUAGUAAAAACUUGUGCCCUUUGUGCUGCACCAUGGUAAGAAGGCGAUUUAAGCUUAUCUUUUCACAAGUAAAUACCGAUAUUGUCAUAACAUCAUAUCUAGGGACACCCGUCGUCAUAAACGUAGAAUAAUAAAAACUUAUUAUUAUUAAGAAAUCUAUAAUAAAUAUAAAAUAUUUAAUUUGCAUAAAAAUGCUUUUUAUUAGGUAAGUACCUUUACUCUAAUGAAGUACGUUAAAAAACGUAUAAACAGUUUAUAAAAGGUAAUCUUGUUUAUAAUUUAAAGAAUAAUCUAUUAAUAAUAAAUAUUUAUCACGUAAAUAUUUUUGGACGACGUCACUGGUAAAGAUUACUUGUGUUGGUGGAAUCAAUAAAGCACUGUUCAGAGUGGGAGCGACGAGCGUCGCGUCGCGAUAGCGUUGUGACGAGCAUCGCGGUUAGUAAUUCAGAGUGACGGAGCGACGCGACGCGUUGAAAAUUUAAUAAAAUUACAAAUUUAAAAUCAUCAGUUCAUAAAAUGGCUCCAACGAAAGCAGUUCGUUUGUUUUUGUUAGUGGACACGCCCUAUUAUAAGUUUAAAUGGUUAAACAAAAAAGUAGGAAUUCACCCCAUAAAUAGGGAAAGAUAUAGGUUUGGUGAAUUUCACCAUCUGUACUAUAAAUUAAGAAAAUAUCCAGACUGAUUUUGGAACUACCUGAGAAUGUCCAUCGAAACGUUUGAUAAUUUGAUGAAAAACGUUGGUCCUUAUCUGGAGAAGACACAAACAAACUUCGUCAGAAGCCGCUACAUAUCACCUGCAGAACGACUUGUCAUUGCUAUAAGAUUUCUUGUCACGGGAACCACCUAUAAACAUUUGGGACACGAAUUUAGAGUUGGAUACUCCAUAGCUUCUGAGAUCGUAAAGGAAACAAGUGCCAUUAUUUGGGGAAAAUUACAAGGAGAUUACAUGCCAUUUCCUAGUCAAGAGCAGUUAAUAAUAAGUAAAACAAUAAUCGAAGAAUACAAUGCAUUGUGGAAUUUUCCAACUGUUUUGGAUCUAUUGACGGAAAGCACUGCCAACUGCCAACUGUCGGACUACAAGCGGUUGCCGAUGCUAACAAAAAAUUUAUCACUAUAAAAGUGGGUGCAAAAGGAUCUGAAAGUGACGGUGAUGUUUUUCAGUCUUCGAUACUUUACAGUUUGUUAGAGACAAAUGGACUAAAUGUACCUCCAGACCGAGCAUUGCCAAAUUCUAAUAUUAUUAUACCAAAUGUCCUGAUAGGUGAUGAGGCAUAUCCGCUAAAAACCUAUCUAAUGAGACCGUAUCCAAGACCAAGAAAUGGAAUUUUCAAUAAUGAAAAGCAACGUUUCAAUUACCGUCUUUCAUGUGCACGAAAAUGCAUUGAAAAUGCAUUUGGUAUAUUAUAUCAAAAAUUUAGAAUUUUUGAUACAAGUAUUUUACUUAAAGAACAAACCGCUAUUAAUGUUAUUAAAUGCGCAUGUGUUCUAGAGAAUAAACAAAACAAUAUAAACUUAAACCCAAGAAUGACAGUUCGAAAUAAUAGAGCAGCUAAUACGGCGAUAAACAUUCGAAAUUCAUUUAAACAGUAUUUUGCCGAGGAGAAUUUAUAAAUUUUGUAACUUAAAAUUAAGAAAAUAAUUUCUAAGUUAUACUAGUGUUUUUUUACUUAUUUGAUAAUCCCAAAAUCUCUCCCACCUCUAAGAAAAAAAGUAUAAAGUUUAUCCCUUAAAUGUCUAUGACGCCAGUUUUGUGUUCCAAAGUGCAGGUCAUACUUAAAUUUUUGCAAUCAAAACUUCAGAAACGUUCUCCUCUGUUGAAGCCAUAUUAACCACUAAUCAUAGAUAAACAGUUUAUAGGGGUUAAUAAGGGCCACUAAUCGCGCCAAAUCGCAAUAGCAAAACAAUUCCGUUUGUUUUCGUCGCAGUCGCGUCGCGUUACGUCGCCGUGCUAAUCGCUCUCACUCUGAAUGCUUCUAUUUAGUAACAUUAGGUUGUUUUACUUUCGUCGCGUCGCUCGUCGCUCCCACUCUGAACAGUGCUUAAUGCGAUCGAGCGGCGUUGCAACAACAUCGCCAUUUUCUCUAAUAUACGUUAUCUGGAUUUAUUUAACUUUGAAUAUUCACUUCUUAAUUAUCAUAUUUUAUUAAAGAGGAAUAUUAUUGUUUUUAUGGAGAUGCUGCAAGCAAACAAACUGCCCAUAGACGUAGCCGAUCGAGAGUUCUAGCCGUGACACUGGUUUCGUGGCGUCAAAAUUGAAGCCGAGAUUUGGUGGCGCACGCCGUACAGUGGAACGACUAAGUGGAGAUACCGCGGGACCUAAUAUUUUACAUUUUACAAGAUAAUAUAUUUUUUAUUAUUACGUAUUUUUAGGUAUAUGAUAAAUGUUUUAAAUAUUUUUUAUUAUUUAUUUUAUUGGAAAAAUAUACAUAAACGGUGUUUCAAAUUCGUCUACCCCAAAGUUGCACAUUAUUUACUUGUAAAAGAAUAUGCCAUAUAAAUAUAUAUAUAUAUAUAUAUAUAUAUUGGUGGGGAUUAGUGACUUUCCACCCAUAUAAGGAGACGGAAAAGAAUGACUGCUGUUACUUAAACGACAAAGGUGUAAUAAAAUGAUUAAAUGUAAAAUGUCAAAUUAACCCGACAAUCUAAAGCACCCCGGAAUGGCUUGGAGUCUUUACCGAGUUAUGAAUUACGACGAGUGUGCGAAUGUCUUGCACGGCCGGCUAAAUUAGACCGACGUCUCUGACUAUUGAAGACCGAGAAUGAAUUAAUACUAAUUAGGUCACACACAAGACGCCACCCGCGUAAAAAGUCACAUUACAACACAGGUGCGCUUCGAUCGCCGUUGUUAUGUCUGGCGUCCAAGGACUAGGGGAAUAUGGUGCAAAUUUGAAGCCCUUUGGAGAUUUGUAGUAUUAAAUAGUUUUGGGCU